Molecule: unclassified non-coding RNA, 20 nt
Filed under: Chlamydomonas reinhardtii
Lineage: Eukaryota; Viridiplantae; Chlorophyta; Chlorophyceae; Chlamydomonadales; Chlamydomonadaceae
Description: small RNA Cre_3237
Source: RNAcentral
UGGAGACGUGAAGCGGCACA